Daphnia pulex (common water flea) is the source of this 658-nucleotide long non-coding RNA. RefSeq lists it as uncharacterized. NCBI's taxonomy places the organism in Eukaryota, Metazoa, Arthropoda, Branchiopoda, Diplostraca, Daphniidae. The transcript has 6 exons. The record is from RefSeq and is a predicted model, not a curated record.
UUUGGUGGUGUACCCUGCAACAGCAUCUUUGUGGUUAUGGAUGUGUUUACUCUGUUCAGAAGGCAACCCAGCUAAGAGAUAGUUUCAGAGACAUGAAGUGUGUGAAGUGAAUAACCUGUCAUGUGCAGGCACAUGUACCAGAUCUGUUUGAUGAAAGUCAAAGGCCUUACUAAAUUCAUCACCCAAAUGAUAAAGCAUUAGGAAAUUUAUCUCAACAUGUGGAAAAAGAGCAGGCAAGAUCCCCACGGAUAUCCUCGAGCUAAUGCUGAAUUUUGUCCAUGACAGAAGAGGGACUUCCAUCAUGCUCCAUCCUUAUCUUCAAGACCUACGCUCAUCCAGCUUCACUGCUUCAGUGCUUCUUAUGCUGCAAAAAGAACUGUUCUUGCUUCACUGGCGAAGCUGGAUUACUUCAGUUGCUGUUACACACCUGCAGUCACUCACCACAGGAUUAUGCCCAGGUAAUGCAGAGGAGACGUCGAGAAGAUGGAUAUUGUCAUCUUUAACAGUCGUCACCGGUCUCCGUCGGAUGUUGCCCCUGCUCCUGGUGCGAACGAAACUCGGUGGAAUCGCGACCGACACCGAGACUCGUCAUCAACGUGGAUCAUCGUAUUGUUGGUAUUACUACGUUUGUGUUAGUGUUAGUUAACCCGUUGUCUGC